This 814-nucleotide ribosomal RNA is filed under the name uncultured Bacteroides sp. Its description in RNAcentral is "bacterial SSU rRNA". It matches the Rfam family "Bacterial small subunit ribosomal RNA", at positions 359 to 1176 of the family's 1533-position model. The record is from RNAcentral. Lineage: Bacteria; Pseudomonadati; Bacteroidota; Bacteroidia; Bacteroidales; Bacteroidaceae.
GAAUAUUGGUCAAUGGACGAGAGUCUGAACCAGCCAAGUAGCGUGAAGGAUGACUGCCCUAUGGGUUGUAAACUUCUUUUAUACGGGAAUAAAGUGAGCCACGUGUGGCUUUUUGUAUGUACCGUAUGAAUAAGGAUCGGCUAACUCCGUGCCAGCAGCCGCGGUAAUACGGAGGAUCCGAGCGUUAUCCGGAUUUAUUGGGUUUAAAGGGAGCGUAGGCGGGUUGUUAAGUCAGUUGUGAAAGUUUGCGGCUCAACCGUAAAAUUGCAGUUGAUACUGGCGACCUUGAGUGCAACAGAGGUAGGCGGAAUUCGUGGUGUAGCGGUGAAAUGCUUAGAUAUCACGAAGAACUCCGAUUGCGAAGGCAGCUUACUGGAUUGUAACUGACGCUGAUGCUCGAAAGUGUGGGUAUCAAACAGGAUUAGAUACCCUGGUAGUCCACACAGUAAACGAUGACUACUCGCUGUUGGCGAUAUACAGUCAGCGGCCAAGCGAAAGCAUUAAGUAUUCCACCUGGGGAGUACGCCGGCAACGGUGAAACUCAAAGGAAUUGACGGGGGCCCGCACAAGCGGAGGAACAUGUGGUUUAAUUCGAUGAUACGCGAGGAACCUUACCCGGGCUUAAAUUGCAACUGACUGAACCGGAAACGGUUCUUUCUUCGGACAGUUGUGAAGGUGCUGCAUGGUUGUCGUCAGCUCGUGCCGUGAGGUGUCGGCUUAAGUGCCAUAACGAGCGCAACCCUUAUCGAUAGUUACUAGCAGGUCAUGCUGAGGACUCUAUUGAGACUGCCGUCGUAAGAUGUGAGGAAGGUGG